Molecule: long non-coding RNA, 112 nt
Filed under: Octodon degus (degu)
Lineage: Eukaryota; Metazoa; Chordata; Mammalia; Rodentia; Octodontidae
Description: TTC28 antisense RNA 1 conserved region 4 (ENSODEG00000023483.1)
Rfam family: TTC28 antisense RNA 1 conserved region 4
Source: RNAcentral
CAUGCUUGUGUGACCCAGCUGCCUGCUGCCCUGGGCACUUGGCUGAAGGUGGUAGAAACACUCAGCUAACCCAAAGUGACAUAUGCCUGGUGGGACAUCCAGGAUACACAAA